Molecule: ribosomal RNA, 433 nt
Filed under: uncultured bacterium
Lineage: Bacteria
Description: partial 16S ribosomal RNA
Rfam family: Bacterial small subunit ribosomal RNA
Source: RNAcentral
AACGAACGCUGGCGGCAUGCCUAACACAUGCAAGUCGAACGAGACCUUCGGGUCUAGUGGCGCACGGGUGCGUAACGCGUGGGAACCUGCCCUUAGGUUCGGAAUAACUCCCCGAAAGGGGUUCUAAUACCGCAUAAUGUCCUCGGACCAAAGAUUUAUCGCCUUUGGAUGGGCCCGCGUUGGAUUAGCUAGUUGGUAGGGUAAAAGCCUACCAAGGCGACGAUCCAUAGCUGGUCAGAGAGGAUGAGCAGCCACACUGGGACUGAGACACGGCCCAGACUCCUACGGGAGGAAGCAGUGGGGAAGAUUGGAGAAUGGGCGAAAGCCUGAUCCAGCAAUGCCGCGUGAGUGAUGAAGGCCUUAGGGUUGUAAAGCUCUUUUACCCGGGAUGAUAAUGACGGUACCGGGAGAAUAAGCUCCGGCUAACUCCGUG